This 253-nucleotide ribosomal RNA is filed under the name uncultured bacterium. RNAcentral's name for it is "partial 16S ribosomal RNA". It matches the Rfam family "Bacterial small subunit ribosomal RNA", at positions 524 to 776 of the family's 1533-position model. The record is from RNAcentral.
UACGGAGGGUGCGAGCGUUGUCCGGAAUCACUGGGCGUAAAGGGCGCGUAGGCGGCGCGGUAAGUCAUCGGUGAAAGUUCAGGGCUCAACUCUGAAUCGGCCGGUGAUACUCUCGUGCUUGAGCACUGUAGAGGCAGGUGGAAUUCCGGGUGUAGCGGUGGAAUGCGUAGAGAUCCGGAAGAACACCGGUGGCGAAGGCGGCUCACUGGCCCGGUACUGACGCUGAUGUGCGAAAGCGUGGGGAGCAAACAGG